RNAcentral lists this long non-coding RNA (702 nucleotides) under Monodelphis domestica (gray short-tailed opossum). Its description in RNAcentral is "lncRNA (ENSMODG00000035872.2)". The record is from RNAcentral. Lineage: Eukaryota; Metazoa; Chordata; Mammalia; Didelphimorphia; Didelphidae.
CAGACGACCAAUUAGUUGUUAUUCCCAUUCUGGGAUUGGAUGUAAGAGUGAUUUCUAAUGGAAACAAGUAGAUUUGGACCUUUGGCAGAUAAUAAUAGCUUUUUCUCAGGCAAACGAUAGUAUAUGGAAAUGUCCUUUCUUCUCACUUGGGUUCAUUUUUAUAUUUUUUUAGUCCUUCAGUAUUUUUCAAAUACUAGGAAUUGUGAAAAGAAGGAAAAGAGAGGUGAAUGUUAAGAUAUUAGUCAAUAUCAGCAAGGUGGAUUAACAAAACAAGUGUUAAGAAGAAGAUAACAUGGUUUCUUCUGCUAAAGGUAAUGCCUUGGUGUGAGGCCAUUCACCCCACAGUGUGUUAUCUUCUGAAAGGACACAUCGAAACUGUGUGCCCAACUGGAGUGGCAUUUGCUGAAGGAGGUAACACCUCUUAAACAUCAGGACAAGUGCAAUUGCUCAUUUGAGGAGAGCUCUUUCCCUUCCAUCUCCCAAGACGACGUGUUUCAGGGAUUUUCACUGAUUUGUUCACUCCUUUCAACUUGGAAAAACCUAUCAUCUGUCCUCCAAGAUUAUCUGAUCUUGUAUAUAAGUCAAAGUAUAUAUUCUGUUAAUUUUUUCUUUUAAUGCAUAAAAAUCUGUCUCUCUCUGGAUUGGGGAUCCAGUGACAAGCUGAAGAGGCCUGAUCCCAAUUUGUUAUAUAAAAGUCACACA